Molecule: ribosomal RNA, 497 nt
Filed under: uncultured bacterium
Lineage: Bacteria
Description: partial 16S ribosomal RNA
Rfam family: Bacterial small subunit ribosomal RNA
Source: RNAcentral
GAUGAACGCUGGCGGCGUGCCUAAUACAUGCGAGUCGAGCGAACAGACGAGGAGCUUGCUCCUCUGACGUUAGCGGCGGACGGGUGAGUAACACGUGGAUAACCUACCUAUAAGACUGGGAUAACUUCGGGAAACCGGAGCUAAUACCGGAUAAUAUAUUGAACCGCAUGGUUCAAUAGUGAAAGACGGUUUUGCUGUCUCUUAUAGAUGGAUCCGCGCCGCAUUAGCUAGUUGGUAAGGUAACGGCUUACCAAGGCAACGAUGCGUAGCCGACCUGAGAGGGUGAUCGGCCACACUGGAACUGAGACACGGUCCAGACUCCUACGGGAGGCAGCAGUAGGGAAUCUUCCGCAAUGGGCGAAAGCCUGACGGAGCAACGCCGCGUGAGUGAUGAAGGUCUUCGGAUCGUAAAACUCUGUUAUUAGGGAAGAACAAAUGUGUAAGUAACUAUGCACGUCUUGACGGUACCUAAUCAGAAAGCCACGGCUAACUACGUG